Long non-coding RNA from Meleagris gallopavo (turkey), 5316 nucleotides. The record is from Ensembl. NCBI's taxonomy places the organism in Eukaryota, Metazoa, Chordata, Aves, Galliformes, Phasianidae.
CAAAUAUAAAUGCUUUCAACUUUUAUGAUGUUAACUGUUCAAAAAAAUAUUUUUGAUAACAGCACUGUUUUUGUUUCACAGAUUUCUCCCCUUUCCUUGUAAGCAUCAGUCCCUCACAAUACUGAGCAUAAGCUCUACAUGCAAAAAAAAAUAUGAAUAACUUAACAAAGCCAAAGUUUAUUAGAAACCACAUCUACUUUCAUUUGAAAGUGGGUUUCUUAGCCUCAUCCGUAAGAGGGUAGUGACAGAAAGAAAAAGCAAUAAAAUGAGUAAAUUCUAAAUUGCUCAAAUUUAAAUUUGGUGAAUCCAUCCUACCUGGUCUGUCUUCUUCUGCAAGUCAGCAACAGUGUUGCAGUUUAACCUAGCAAAGGAGGGGAGUUCUCUUUUUCUUUACUUAAACUGUUCCUUAUCUCAACCCAUGACCCUUUUUUUUCAUCACAUUUCCUCCCCUGUACUUUUGAGGAAGGGGAAGUGAGAGAACAGCAUAAUGGAAUUUGGCUUGACCACUCUUGGCGUGGUCAAGAAUCACAUACAUACUCAGAUUAGUGGCAUGAAGGGCCACCAAGUAUCACCAGAUUAACUAGGGUACUCUCUCCAUUCUUCCCUCAUCACACAAUUAGGAAAGUAUUUUUUGUUUUGUUCUUUCAUUUAUGUUUUGUACUUUGGUCUCUCAAUUCUCAUUUUUUUGUGGUUUGUCCCCAUCUUUCAGCCUCAUUCACUGGAUUAGCAGAUUUUUCUAACUCUUGCAAGAUCCUUUUCUCCAGAAUGGGAUUGUGUUUAGAGAAAACUCAGAGGUUCCUUCAGCGGUGUGAAAAUAGUUCAGGACAGAAAAGCCAAUACCAGAACACUUUUCCAGCGAAUAGAUAUCAAACCCCUGCAAGUUUUCAUCAGACAAAGAGCAGUAAAACAAAGAAACAAAGCCAACCAGGAUGUGCUGCUCCUUCACAAGGAUCCCACUAGAGCUCAGUCUUGGCUGUGCCCAUCACAAAGUCUGCACUCCACAGGACCUAGCCCUGGAAAGCACAGAGAAGAACUGAGUUAGAUUCUUAGGCCAUUGAGUCACAUUUGAAGCCUAUUCCCUUUUAUUGGAUAAUAGCCUAUACAAUAUAUAACCAGAAAAUUGGCAGCUCCUUUACACUGCUAUUAGUGUUAAUAGCUAAUGAACUAUAAAAGCAACAGGGUUUUUUUUUCCCCAAUUGAUUAAUUUAAAUUUAACCUUAAUUUGUUUAGAUCUCACUGAGAAGCCGCUACCUUAUUCUGAGCUACAACUGUUGCAAUUAGCAGAAGUAUCCCACUGUGAAUAUAAGGCUGAUUGCAUGCUAUGCAUCUAUUGUGAGAUGACACUGCUUAGAUGUCUGUUGAAGAGAUCAGACAACUAACUCCAAAAAAAUACAGGAUUAUUUGCAAAUAUUUAGUCAGCAGCAUAUUCUGAAGUGGACUGUUUCCAUUUCAAAAAACAUAUGCAUGUUUUAUAACAUGGUAACAUGCUGUGGGUGAAAAUAUUGCAUCCCUUACUUAUUACAUCCACUGUUUCUGAGACUCAUUUUUACAGCUAUGAACAAAAUGUUUACUUUUUUGUGAUACAUUUCUGUUUUUCUCUUUUUAUCUUCAGAAUUCUUACCACUUGGAUUCUAACAUAGCAUCUCCACAGAGCAAGUAGAUUUAUAAAGAAAUUGUAGCACUUGUGGGAAAUUUGUGUCAUCGUAAAGCAGUACAGGAAUGAGGGGAGGAGCGUGUGUAAAUUGUUCGGAGUUGCUGUUUUGAUGCUACAUGGUUUUGUUGUUGGGAAUUCCUUUUGUUGAUGUAAGAGAAGUUUGUGAAGUUUAGGUGAUGAAUCUUUAUAAAUGUACAUUGUAAUGUGUUAUUGGAUGUAUAUAAUGCAUAUUUCUAUCAUGAGCUUUCAAACACCCAUAGCUCACACUGGUGCCACCUUCAGUGGGUGGCAAAUUCUAAGACACUUCUGUCAAAGCUUUUAAUGAAAAUAAACUAUUUUAUUAAAAAUCCUAGAUUGUUUUUCAUCAUUAGAUAAACGCUAAGAAGGAGAUUUAAAAAAUGCUCAUCUAAACUGUAAAGACUUUCUGUUGCUUAUGCUGAAGAAUUAAUUCUUACCAGAAAAUAGAAUACUGUAGGAUACCACCAGAUUUUUAAAAACAAUAGCAAAGUAAAAUUCUGUGAUACUGGAGCACAUCCAGAUCAAUUGGGGUAUGGCUUUCCCGAAGGCUAGGAAAGCCACAUAUCAAUAGAAAGUUAUUAGCUAAAAAUAAGGUAAUGUAAAUUAUAUUUUACUUUUCUAGAUUACUGAUACCAUAGGGUAAUCACACACCAAAAACUGUGUUAUCUGGCCACUCUGACUCAAAGGAGAUUUUUUCAUUCAUUUUAAUAGGAUGUAAAUUCCACUCUCAGUAAGAGAGACCCUGCACAAACAAACAAAACAAAACAAAACAAAACAAAAAACACAACAAAAAAACACCUCAAAACACCUCACCCACAACUCCGGACAUCAUCGUUGUUAUCAGAACAUUAUAGUUUCCCAUUGGCUCUUCAAUAUCACAGCAUGGCAGAAGCCCUGGUGUUCAAGAUAAAGGGUCACCAAACUACAGUCCUUCAUUGCACGUGAAUCACUAACCUGACAAGUGCAGCUGCCAUGCCAAGAAGAUAUAAAAAGACUCACGAGUGAGGAACUGCUGGUAAACAGCCUGCUGAUUAGUUCCAUUCCCCAGAGGUGGGAAGAGGCAAGAAAACAGGUGGUGUCUGCAGUCACUGCCAUCAGCUCUUCUGCUUCAUCAUCAGCUUCACAUCUGAUCCAACCCCAGCAGUCUCAAGACCACUGUGAGACUACUCCUAGCACUUCUCUCCUCUUGGCUUCCUAAGGAUAAGGUAGGGGUAUGAUGGCUCUCAAACAUUUGAAGAGGUUGAUAGGUAUCCAAGUGUCAAGAAGGUUGUCUGCACUUGUUGCAGAUGUUUCAGAGAUAAAGCAAGUAUUCCCUUCUGUGCAACUUCACACAACCCACGUUAUAUAUGUGUGGAAAAUAUGGAUAGUUUUAUGUAGCUAAAUUUGCUUAUGCUAGCCUUGGUUAGAUAAACUUACUCAUUCUCCCAGGACAUUAUUUUCAAAUACAAUUUUCUGGAAAGGCAUGGAUAUCAAAAAUAAAUUUAUCUUGAAUGAAGUGGGUUUUUGUUUUGUUCUUAAAGCAAAUGAAGGACGGGAAUCCUGAUGAUUUCAAACUGUUGCAAAGUUUUAACAAUUUAAUAAAUUCAAAUUAAUUCUGAGUAUUUCUUUAAGAGACAGCAGAAAUCUCUUUGAAUUUAGUUUUUCUUCACAGCAGAAACCACAACCUUUCUGAUCCCUCAGCAGUGCUAACAACUAGAAAUAGCAACUGCUUUGGCACUACCUGCAGCUCUUACAGCUUUCUGGGCCAGUCUGCCCAGGCAUUUAGCUACUCUGUAAGGUCUUUUUGGCAGUAUUUAGACACAACCAUAGACUCCUGAAACAGUCUUUCCAUCUUGCACUAUGAAGUCUUAAAAGGUACCAGUUUUCAAACACGAGUUAAGCUUGAUAAUGAAAUGUAACAAUUGCUAGAGUUCAGUUUACCCAGUGUGUAAAAGCACUAAGUCUACACAAUACAAGAUGGAGUGCUCAAACCCAAGGAGAAAGAAGAAAACAAGCAGGUCAUGUUAUCUUAAAUGAGAACACUUUCCAUCUCUCCUCUUUGGGCUGAGACACUGCGCAGCCAGGUACGCAAGAUGUAGAGCAACCAGCAACUACGGCACAUACUCAUGAAGCAGCAGGAAUGGGAUCUCACACCUGCCUCCAAGGCUGUUUGGAAACAGCACAUCCACCUCAGCUUGGUCUCCUCUGAAAGCAUGACCUAGGAGAAAAGAUGGAGUCAUUUUUGCUUACUGUUCUGCUGGCCCCAUCAAUAUUGUCACAUCCAAUGCAAGCCAACUAGAAGGCACGAAGAUUGCUUUCGCUCUGUGUGCUCCAUGAUCUAGAGAUGAAGACUCUCUCCUAGGAUGCAGACGCUGGGGCUAUGACUCAAUUCAGCCAAACUGGGCUCCUCACCCUCCUGCUGUGGUGAUAAGCAACUUCACCACCAAGAUCUUAUGCAGAGAACACUAACAGCAUUCACUGGGAUUUCCUCCUGUUCUCCCAGCAGGCUCCAGAAACUGGAUUUCCUAGAAGGCUGCUAGAAGAAAGCAAACUACCUGCAAGGAAAGACGUAUGUGACACAGGAGAAACUGAGUCUUUUUUUCAUGCCAUUUCAGACACGUAUGUCUCUCCACUGCGCAGAAGAGGUAAAAAUUUAUGUUCAUUUGCUCUCUGUUAAGAUAUCCCAACUUCACUGUAGGCAUUACCCAAGGUAGGCAAGUUGAUUGGACUCACACUGCUUUGAACAAGACUGUUCUGAAUGGAAGACAGCCCAAAAAAAACACAGAGAAAAUAAAUGAUUCGUAACUGAAUCUCUGAUGAUUCAGUAGUUUCAGAAUUCGAUUUCAGAAUUCGAAUUCAGAUUCGUAACUGAACUACUCUAUGUAAUGUUUAGCAACUAUUUGACUGGAAAAAAAAGAAAAAGGGGGAGAGAGAUCUUCAUUCAGCACUAGGGUGAAAAAAAAAAUCUUUCAAAACUACUGGGGUGGAGGAACAACUGAAUUAACAACACAGAAUGAAAAAUUAAUUCCCAGAAUCUAAAAUAACAAACAGUCCAUGGACUGGCACACCUGAGAUUCCUGCUAUUGAUGUUAAAAUUAUUUCUAUCUGGCUAUAGCUUGCUUAAGCAUACAACGAUCAUCUUAAAUAAUCCACAUUAAAACAGAUGGAUCUCUUAUGGAAUAUCAGCACUGAAAAUCUGUAAUUAGGACAAUUUCAUGCCACAGACCUAGGACGCAAGGCAAAACUGAUUUUCUCUCUCUCGUGCUAUGACUAUUUGUCAUUUAUGUGAAAAGAAGCAGUCAAAGCAGGAAAGACAAAAAAAAAACAAAAAACAAAAACAAAAACUAUGCUGACUUUAUAGCACUGGACUCAGCCCAGCAGACUCUUCCUUACUCUUAAGCUGGUUGUCUCUGGUUUCAUAGUAUCAUAGAAUCAUAGAAUUGCUCAGGUUGGAAAAGACCUUAAAGAUCAUAAAGUCCAAACGCAACCUAACCAUACUACCCUAACUCUAACAAUCCUCUGCUAAGUCAUGUGCCUGAGCACCACAUCCCAAAAGCAAAUUCCUCCCAAAGCAACAAUUUCUUUUGUACAGAUGUUUUAUCAAAGUCUCCCUGUAAAUUUCUACAGGGUUAUAAAUGCUGAUUUGCUAAAAUUAUUUCUAUAAG